UGCACUGAUGAAACUAGAAAUAGGAAGU
RNAcentral lists this non-coding RNA (28 nucleotides) under Rattus norvegicus (Norway rat). The record is from RNAcentral. Lineage: Eukaryota; Metazoa; Chordata; Mammalia; Rodentia; Muridae.